GCUCCGGCAGUCUGCGCCCUCUCUGCCUGCCCGCGGGUCCCGGGCCUCGGAAGGCAUGAGGCCCCCAGCAGCCGCGUCUGGGGGGUAAGUACGGCCGGGGUCGACCCCACCCCCGCACGUGGCUGCGCCGUAGUAACGGAGGGAGGGGGCGCUCAGACCGCUGGGUCCGCAGGGGUCGCUCGCGCGCUCCCCCCCCCCCCACUGCGCUUUACAUACCGCAGCGUGGGAAGGAGGGGGUGUCACCGACUCCAGCCUCUCCUUGCCCGCCCCCUCCUUCCAGACUUCCUCAGUCAGCACCGGAGCUGUAGCAGGAGAGACUUGAGAUAGACUCCGGGAAGACCGCUCUGAUCAAGACCAGCCAGUCAGAGGAGGCGGCGGCGGACUUUGCCCAGGAUCUCUUUCAACUCCUCCAGAAGAGGCCUCCCCCUCCCCCAGCAGCCAGGCUGGGACCUUGGCAGGAGGCAGGGGGCUGCCAGUGCUGGGCGCAGGGCCUCACCGGACAGACUCUGCUCUCGGCUCUCCGGUCGGCCCAGGCAAGGCUAUUCCUAGGUUGCGGCGUUUCCGAUUCGGGCUGCUUGGGAUGAAUCAUCCCCAUUUCCCGCCGCCUGGCCUCCUUUUCAGCCUCCUCCGCCCGAGGCCUCAGUGGACCGCGUCCCAGCCAGAGCAGCAACGCCCAGAGCCCCAGGGUUCGGGCUGCACAGCUUAAACCCCUCCCAGCUACAGGAUGUGCUGGGUCUGCGACCUGAGGACCAGAUCCCGGCCGGGACAGGAGCAGCAGGGCUAUAGGUGAUGUGGGCCCCACCGAAGGGAGGGCGCGGAACGACACGCAGCCCCCAUCCAGGCCCCAAAAGAGGAGAGUUAGGACUCGCUGUCCUGGAGUGCGUCCUUACUCCCCCACUCUGAUUUCUAAGCAGCUGCAGCCCUGAAGGCAUAGCCAAGCCUCAGGGAGGAGGAUUUGCCACCCUGCCCACGCCCCAGCCGCACCCCGAAGCCCAAAACAGGACACCAUUCCUGCCUCGGACAGCACUGCCCCAGGUCCGAGGCCUAGAUAGAGUCGUAGCGUCUACCGCGUCCAAAGACUGGUUUUCAUAGGUGGAAACUGCGGCCUGACGGGGGUCACACCGCCACACGAGGCGGGGGCUCCAUCUCGGCCGACGCCGGGCUCCUGACCCUACCCCUGGGCAUGGCACACCUCUGGGCAUAGCCACAGGCGCGUCCAGGGAGCAGGCGAAGCCCAUUACCCCCUUAUCCCUGGGUAUGGAACCUUUUCCCAGUCCAAGACAGCAGUGACCACCUCUUCUCAAGCUAGAGCUGGCGCCCCAACCCCAACUCCUGAAAGGUCACUCCUGAGCCCGGGCCAGUCCCUGCCAGGAGGCGAAAGCAUGCAAAUCAGAGACUCGUGGACAUGUUCAGAGACCCCAAGACUGGUGGGCUUGGGACGACGCUGAGGACCCCAUGGAGGCGGAAACUAGAGUCACAGCCGGAUGAUCCCAAGGCGCGGGAAGUUGUUCACAGCCCCAUACUCCGGGGUCCCGCCACCGCCCGCGUACCUACUCCGGCCUGGGGAAAAGGAAGGACCAGGAUCCCGCCCCUGUACCUCUCCCGAGGGAGGAGCCAAAGAAAGUUAGGGAAAGUGGGUGGCGGGCCCGUGGCUCCUGUCCUGCUCACCUGGAGCUGCCGCGCCGGAGUAGGUCCGGGUCCGAGUCCGCGCGCCGCGGUUCCCCGCACCUCCUAGAUCUCCACGGAGCCCCGCCCCGGCCCCGCCCCGCGCCGCUCG
This 1777-nucleotide long non-coding RNA is filed under the name Marmota monax (woodchuck). The record is from RNAcentral. Lineage: Eukaryota; Metazoa; Chordata; Mammalia; Rodentia; Sciuridae.